Non-coding RNA from Paramuricea clavata, 249 nucleotides. The record is from the annotation of a GenBank genome assembly. Lineage: Eukaryota; Metazoa; Cnidaria; Anthozoa; Malacalcyonacea; Plexauridae.
UGAGCUGAUAGGCCGACGAGGUGCGUAGCACCGAGUCGGCUAUCAGCCAUAUACGACGAGAGCGAAUGGUAUAAUUGUUUUUAUAAUAUAGUAUAAUAUAGCCAUUAACUGAAGCAAUAAUUAAUUAUUCACAGUUACAAUGUGUUGACAAUUUGUUCGGCCAAAAACCGCUUGAAAAUUUGAAAUACUUUUGUUUUACAACUCGAAGACGAAGUGAAAGAAAUGGUUUUAGAACCUCUAUAUCUCACA